This 253-nucleotide ribosomal RNA is filed under the name uncultured bacterium. RNAcentral's name for it is "partial 16S ribosomal RNA". It matches the Rfam family "Bacterial small subunit ribosomal RNA", at positions 524 to 776 of the family's 1533-position model. The record is from RNAcentral.
UACGUAGGGCGCGAGCGUUGUCCGGAAUCAUUGGGCGUAAAGAGCUCGUAGGCGGCCUGUCGCGUCUGCUGUGAAAUCCCGGGGCUCAACCCCGGGCGUGCAGUGGAUACGGGCUGGCUGGAGGCAGGCAGGGGAGAACGGAAUUCCCGGUGUAGCGGUGAAAUGCGCAGAUAUCGGGAGGAACACCGGUGGCGAAGGCGGAUCUCUGGGCCAUUACUGACGCUGAGGAGCGAAAGCGUGGGGAGCGAACAGG